Molecule: microRNA, 20 nt
Filed under: Arabidopsis thaliana (thale cress)
Lineage: Eukaryota; Viridiplantae; Streptophyta; Magnoliopsida; Brassicales; Brassicaceae
Description: ath-miR5021
Source: miRBase by way of RNAcentral
UGAGAAGAAGAAGAAGAAAA